CCCUUAGAUGUUCUGGGCCGCACGCGCGCUACACUGAUGCAUGCAACAAGUCUUUUCCUUGGCCGAGAGGCCUGGGCAAUCUUUGAAUAUGCAUCGUGAUGGGGAUAGACGAUUGCAAUUAUUCGUCUUCAACGAGGAAUUCCUAGUAAACGCAAGUCAUCAGCUUGCAUUGAUUACGUCCCUGCCCUUUGUACACACCGCCCGUCCCACCUACCGAUUGAAUGGUCCGGUGAAGGCUUCGGAGGCGGCUUUCUCAAUGUUUAUUCGGCGAGACUGCUGCAAAAGUUGAAUGAACCUUACCAUUUAGAGGAAGGUGAAGUCGUAACA
RNAcentral lists this ribosomal RNA (327 nucleotides) under uncultured eukaryote. Its description in RNAcentral is "partial 18S ribosomal RNA". It matches the Rfam family "Eukaryotic small subunit ribosomal RNA", at positions 1470 to 1796 of the family's 1831-position model. The record is from RNAcentral.